GGGACUCGGGAUCGACUAGCCAUGCGAGUCGAUGUUCUUCGUGAACAUGGCGGACUGCUCAGUAACACGUGGACAACCUACCCUCGAGUCCGGCAUAAUCCUGGGAAACUGGGGAUAAUUCCGGAUAGGUCACCGAUGCUGGAAUGCGCGGUGGCCAAAAGCUCCGGCGCCCGAGGAUGGGUCCGCGGCCUAUCAGGGUUGUAGUGGGUGUAACGUACCUACUAGCCUACGACGGGUACGGGUUGUGAGAGCAAGAGCCCGGAGAUGGAUUCUGAGACACGAAUCCAGGCCCUACGGGGUGCAGCAGGCGCGAAAACUUUACAAUGCGGGAAACCGUGAUAAGGGAAUCUCGAGUGCCAGCAUAUAAUGUUGGCUGUCCAGAUGCCUAAAAAGCAUCUGUUAGCAAGGGCCGGGCAAGACCGGUGCCAGCCGCCGCGGUAACACCGGCGGCCCGAGUGGUAACCGCUAUUAUUGGGUCUAAAGGGUCUGUAGCCGGCCAGGUAAGUCCCUUGGGAAAUCUGGCAGCUUAACUGUCAGGCUGCUAGGGGAUACUGUCUGGCUUGGGACCGGGAGAGGUGAGAGGUACCUUGGGGGUAGGGGUGAAAUCUUGUGAUCCUCGGGGGACCACCAGUGGCGAAGGCGUCUCACCAGAACGGGUCCGACGGUAAGGGACGAAAGCUAGGGGCACGAACCGGAUUAGAUACCCGGGUAGUCCUAGCCGUAAACGAUGCUCGCUAGGUGUCAGUCACGGUGCGACCGUGAUUGGUGCCGUAGGGAAGCCGUGAAGCGAGCCACCUGGGAAGUAUGGCCGCAAGGCUGAAACUUAAAGGAAUUGGCGGGGGAGCACUACAACGGGUGGAGCCUGCGGUUUAAUUGGAUUCAACGCCGGG
Molecule: ribosomal RNA, 890 nt
Filed under: uncultured archaeon
Lineage: Archaea
Description: bacterial SSU rRNA
Rfam family: Archaeal small subunit ribosomal RNA
Source: RNAcentral